Molecule: long non-coding RNA, 1090 nt
Organism: Zingiber officinale
Lineage: Eukaryota; Viridiplantae; Streptophyta; Magnoliopsida; Zingiberales; Zingiberaceae
Exons: 3
Source: RefSeq, a predicted model, not a curated record
AAAAUAUAAAAAAAAAGAAAUGAAAUGAACAUUGAAACUUUUGCCAUAAAAUCCCCGCGGCUUCUCCUUCUUCUCCACCCGCGAUGCGACUUCUCCUUUCUCCUCCACCCACAUCCGUGGCUCGGCUUCUCCCUUCUCCUCCACCCACAGUCGCGGCUUCUCCUCCUCCUCCACUAGCGAAGCUUCUCCACCAGCAAAGCUUCUCCAAGCCCUAAAGGUCCUCCACGCCGCGAAGCUCCUUCACCAGCGAAGCUCCUCCUCUAGCGAAGCUUCUCCAAGCCCUAAAGCUCCUCCAGGUCGUGAAGCUCCUUCACCAGUGAAGCUCCUCCACCAGCGUAAGUGAUGGCAAGCCCUAAAGCUCCUCCACACCCUAACCUCAUAUUUCCCCCGGACCUAAAACUCCUCCACCAGCAAAACUCCUCCACGAUAAUUCUGUCGAAGCUCCUCCAUGCCCAAACGCCACACUAACUUGGUCGAUAUGGAGAGGAUCUCGUUCGGAGGGAAGGACAAAGGAACAAAUAUCCAUGGUAGCCAGCUCUUCAUCAGCAACAUCUUUGAUUCGAAGAUGCAUGAAUGAUGAACAAGGUGAAACUUCCAAUAUAUUAUGUUAUUGUAGGUUAAAAGCUACCCUCUGACAUCUUGGAAUGAAACCAACCCAAGAAGGCGAUUUUUUUCAUGUCCAAAAUUUAGAGAUAAGGGAUGUGACUUCUUCUUAUGAAAUGAUCCAGAAUUGUCAGAGAGAACUAAGACAAUUAUUAAUUAUUUGAAGAUGGAUAACAAAAAAUUACAGAUGGAAAUUAGUCAAUUGAAGAAAUCUAAUAGUUAUGAGGGUGCAAUUGAUUGCAAUGAUCUCCUGGAGGAUGUGAACAACUCUGUUACUAUAAAGUUGAGUGAUGAAAUAUGUUCACUGAAUUGAAAGUUGCUAUCAUUGUAGUUGUAUUUAUUUGGAUUGUGAUGAUUUUGAGGUGGUUGAUGUAUUUUACUAUAAGCAAAUAACUUUAGAUGUAAUGAAAGAUGUUUCUAGGUUUUUAAUGUACCUUAUCAGUGUUUUAUGGUUUAAUGUACCUUCUCAGUUAUUCUUGGUUGUUCA